RNAcentral lists this ribosomal RNA (253 nucleotides) under uncultured bacterium. RNAcentral's name for it is "partial 16S ribosomal RNA". It matches the Rfam family "Bacterial small subunit ribosomal RNA", at positions 524 to 776 of the family's 1533-position model. RNAcentral also lists the same sequence under 1 other name. The record is from RNAcentral.
GACAGAGGGUGCAAACGUUGUUCGGAAUUACUGGGCGUAAAGCGCGUGUAGGCGGCGGUGCAAGUCGGAUGUGAAAGCCCUGGGCUCAACCCAGGAAGUGCAUUCGAUACUGCAUCGCUGGAGUCCCGGAGAGGAUGGUGGAACUCUCGGUGUAGAGGUGAAAUUCGUAGAUAUCGAGAAGAACACCGGUGGCGAAGGCGGCCAUCUGGACGGUGACUGACGCUGAGACGCGAAAGCGUGGGGAGCAAACAGG